AUUGAACGCUGGCGGCAUGCUUUACACAUGCAAGUCGAACGGUAACAGGCCGCCAGGUGCUGACGAGUGGCGAACGGGUGAGUAAUGCAUCGGAACGUGCCCAGUCGUGGGGGAUAACUACUCGAAAGAGUAGCUAAUACCGCAUACGAUCUAUGGAUGAAAGCGGGGGACCGUAAGGCCUCGCGCGAUUGGAGCGGCCGAUGUCAGAUUAGGUAGUUGGUGGGGUAAAGGCUCACCAAGCCAACGAUCUGUAGCUGGUCUGAGAGGACAACCAGCCACACUGGGACUGAGACACGGCCCAGACUCCUACGGGAGGCAGCAGUGGGGAAUUUUGGACAAUGGGCGCAAGCCUGAUCCAGCAAUGCCGCGUGCAGGAAGAAGGCCUUCGGGUUGUAAACUGCUUUUGUACGGAACGAAACGGCUCUGGUUAAUACCCGGGGCUAAUGACGGUACCGGAAGAAUAAGCACCGGCGAACUACGU
Molecule: ribosomal RNA, 481 nt
Filed under: uncultured bacterium
Lineage: Bacteria
Description: partial 16S ribosomal RNA
Rfam family: Bacterial small subunit ribosomal RNA
Source: RNAcentral